ACGUAGGGGGCGAGCGUUAUCCGGAAUUAUUGAGCAUAAAGAGUGCGUAGGUGGUUCUUUCACCGUGAGGUGAAGGGCAAAAGUUCAACUAUUUUAGGCCUGGCGAACUGGGGGACUUGAGUGAGGGAAAGGAAAGCGGAAUUCCUAGGGUAGUGGUAAAAUGCGUAUAUAUGAGGAGGAACACCAGUGGCGAAGGCAGCUUUCUGGACUGUAACUGACACUGAGGCACGAAAGCGUGGGGAGCAUACAG
RNAcentral lists this ribosomal RNA (250 nucleotides) under uncultured prokaryote. RNAcentral describes it as "partial 16S rRNA". It matches the Rfam family "Bacterial small subunit ribosomal RNA", at positions 525 to 775 of the family's 1533-position model. The record is from RNAcentral.